Molecule: unclassified non-coding RNA, 288 nt
Filed under: uncultured Herpotrichiellaceae
Lineage: Eukaryota; Fungi; Ascomycota; Eurotiomycetes; Chaetothyriales; Herpotrichiellaceae
Description: sequence contains 5.8S rRNA gene
Rfam family: 5.8S ribosomal RNA (bases 1-53)
Source: RNAcentral
GAACGCACAUUGCGCCCUUUGGUAUUCCGAAGGGCAUGCCUGUUCGAGCGUCAUUAUCACCCCUCAAGCCUCCGGCUUGGUGUUGGAUGGUUUGGUGACAGCGCCCUCUGGGCAGCGGUCAGCCCUCCCAAAGACAAUGACGGCGGCCUCGUUGGACCCCCGGUACACUGAGUUCCUCACCGAACACGUACUGGAUCAAGGGCCCGCGGAGCACGGUCUGCCUCCCCUCAGGGAGAACUUUUAUCUCAAGGUUGACCUCGGAUCAGGUAGGAAUACCCGCUGAACUUA